ACUCUCAUGGCGUAGGGUAACGCGCCCGAACUAGAUAUUAGGGAGUCGUGAGUUCGAUUCUCACUGAGAAGA
This is a non-coding RNA of Aedes aegypti (yellow fever mosquito), 72 nucleotides long. NCBI's taxonomy places the organism in Eukaryota, Metazoa, Arthropoda, Insecta, Diptera, Culicidae. The record is from Rfam.